Molecule: ribosomal RNA, 119 nt
Organism: Cercocebus atys (sooty mangabey)
Lineage: Eukaryota; Metazoa; Chordata; Mammalia; Primates; Cercopithecidae
Source: Ensembl
GUCUAUGGCCAUACCACACUGAACUUGCCCGAUCUCGUCGGAUCUCGGAAGCUAAGUGGUGUCGGGCCUGGUUAGUACUUGGAUGGGAGACCAUCUGGGUAUACUGGGUGCUGCAGGCC